RNAcentral lists this ribosomal RNA (499 nucleotides) under uncultured Glomeromycotina. RNAcentral describes it as "partial small subunit ribosomal RNA". It matches the Rfam family "Eukaryotic small subunit ribosomal RNA", at positions 591 to 1092 of the family's 1831-position model. The record is from RNAcentral. Lineage: Eukaryota; Fungi; Glomeromycota.
CCAAUAGCGUAUAUUAAAGUUGUUGCAGUUAAAAAGCUCGUAGUUGAAUUUCGGGAUCAAUAUGUUGGUCGUGCCUUGGUACGUACUGGCGUCAUUGGUUUCUACCUUCUGAAGAACCUCGAUGUCAUUAAUUUGGUGUCUUGGGGAAUCAGGACUGUUACUUUGAAAAAAUUAGAGUGUUUAAAGCAGGCUCACGCUUGAAUACAUUAGCAUGGAAUAAUGAAAUAGGACGUUUGAUUCUAUUUUGUUGGUUUCUAGGAUCGACGUAAUGAUUAAUAGGGAUAGUUGGGGGCAUUAGUAUUCAAUUGUCAGGGGUGAAAUUCUUGGAUUUAUUUAAGACUAACUACUGCGAAAGCAUUUGCCAAGGACGUUCUCAUUAAUCAAGAACGAAAGUUAGGGGAUCGAAGACGAUCAGAUACCGUCGUAGUCUUAACCAUACACUAUGCCGACUAGGGAUCGGAUGAUGUUAAUUUUUUAAUGACUCAUUCGGCGCCUUACG